Molecule: non-coding RNA, 796 nt
Organism: Punica granatum (pomegranate)
Lineage: Eukaryota; Viridiplantae; Streptophyta; Magnoliopsida; Myrtales; Lythraceae
Source: RefSeq, a predicted model, not a curated record
CCUUGGUUCAAGUUUUCGUGAGUGUAAAGCCCACACGAUUAAAGAGACAAAGGUGCAUCGCACCCUUUGUAGUGCACGACUACCCGAAAGGAGCGAUAUGGGAUCCCCUGCGACCACGGAUUUGUGCGAUGCGAAUGCAGCAUCUGUUGCGAAUGGCGAUCUGCGGGCUCUCGAAUCGAUCUUCCAAGUUUAUGGCCAGAAGCGAUCCUUCUGAGGACCCGUCUGUCAUGGUAUUCGAGGACAACGUCCAAGUCAGGGAAUUCCUCUCGACAAAGGGUGAAGGCUGAGUCCUGGUCGUGGACAGAGGGGGAAGCAGGAGAUGCACCGUGCUGGGAGGGAAGGCUUGCCCGGCGGGGCUAUAACAACAGAUGGACUGGGAUUGUGCUGAACGGGUUCAUCCGGGAUGGGGAUGAAAUCAACGGCUGUCCUAUUGGCCUCUGGUCUUUGGGCUCUGUCCUGUUAAGACCGAAGAAGACAGGGGUCGGAUAAAGGAACUGCCUCGUCUAUGUCGCAGACCACUGGGUUCGUGACGGGGAUUGGCUAUGUGCCGAUAGUGAUGGAAUAAUCGUGUCCAAAUUGAAGCUUUCUGUUUAAGGCCGGAAUGCGGGCUCUCACAGUGUUUCUGAAAUGGAAGAAGUUCGAAUAUCGGUUUCCUUCUGUAAUAAUGAGCGCAGCAGGACGCAAUGGCAGCUUUGCUUGGAUAGCGAAAAAUUGUUCGAGUUGGUUAAUAAGUGCUUCCAUAUGAUCGAAUGAAUCGUGAGAUCGUCAAUUAUAUGCGAAGUUCCGUUUUUGUAUA